AGCGAACGCUGGCGGUAGGCUUAACACAUGCAAGUCGAACGGCAGCACAGUAAGAGCUUGCUCUUACGGGUGGCGAGUGGCGGACGGGUGAGGAAUACAUCGGAAUCUACUUUUUCGUGGGGGAUAACGUAGGGAAACUUACGCUAAUACCGCAUACGACCUACGGGUGAAAGCAGGGGAUCUUCGGACCUUGCGCGAUUGAAUGAGCCGAUGUCGGAUUAGCUAGUUGGCGGGGUAAAGGCCCACCAAGGCGACGAUCCGUAGCUGGUCGGAGAGGAUGGUCGGCCACACUGGAACUGAGACACGGUCCAGACUCCUACGGGAGGCAGCAGUGGGGAAGAUUGGACAAUGGGCGCAAGCCUGAUCCAGCCAUACCGCGUGGGUGAAGAAGGCCUUCGGGUUGUAAAGCCCUUUUGUUGGGAAAGAAAAGCAGCAGGUUAAUACCCCGCUGUUCUGACGGUACCCAAAGAAUAAGCACCGGCUAACUUCGUG
RNAcentral lists this ribosomal RNA (492 nucleotides) under uncultured bacterium. Its description in RNAcentral is "partial 16S ribosomal RNA". It matches the Rfam family "Bacterial small subunit ribosomal RNA", at positions 29 to 507 of the family's 1533-position model. The record is from RNAcentral.